This is a long non-coding RNA of Catharus ustulatus (Swainson's thrush), 667 nucleotides long. RefSeq lists it as uncharacterized. The transcript is spliced from 3 exons. The record is from RefSeq and is a predicted model, not a curated record. NCBI's taxonomy places the organism in Eukaryota, Metazoa, Chordata, Aves, Passeriformes, Turdidae.
GCUCAAUACUUGCUAAGAAUAUAUUUGCGUAUAUAUUUUAUGGGAAUCAAGAGCAGAAAAAACAUAAUUAGAAGGAAUUUGAGUCUAUGUCUACAUCUCUAGCUGUAUGCUUUCUGUUCUGCCAGGCCUUUUGAAGGAGUGAUUUUCUUUCUUCCUUCUGUGUUCCCUUGGUGCAGUUUUUGCACACUGAGAUGUACUUGUCUGUUAGAUGGGGAGCUGAAAGCAGCAAUGCGGCUGCAAGGAUUGGCAGAAGGGAGCUGCUUCAAGGCUCUGAUUAAACGAAGCUGCUGCAACACACUGCAGUUGGAAAAGGUUGUUUAGUAUUGGAGGAUGAUUCUGGGAUUCUUUCCAGCUGGCUAUAUCUUUGAGUACCUCCAAUACAUGUGGUCUUUCUUACAUGGAACUGAGUUGCAAUGGAUGUAGGGAAAGAACCUUGUGAAACACCUCUGCUGCCCCAUGGAUAAUUUGCACUGUGAUUAUAUGCCUUGGAGAUCAAACUUAAUUUUUACACUGCAGAUGUCCCAACAUAAACUGUACUUCCCAAGAGUUUCUGCAUUACUUUAUCACCUUUUGAAUGGCUCCACUUGUCCAAGUCCUGCAACUCCUACAAUAUACCUGGCUAGUAAUUACUUAUUUCCAAGGGGAUAAAGAACUACUGGUAAGCAGA